AGUUGCCAUCAGGUUAAGCUGGGACUCUAAAGAACUGCUACGCAAGUAGUGAGGAAGGCGGGGAUGACGUCAAAUCAGCAGGCCCUUACGUCCAGGGCUACACACGUGCUACAAUGGCCGAUACAGAGGGCAGCUACCUGGUGACAGGAUGCAAAUCUCCAAAGUCGGUCUCAGUUCGGAUCGGAGUCUGCAACCCGACUCCGUGAAGUUGGAUUCGCUAGUAAUCGCGCAUCAGCCAUGGCGCGGUGAAUACGUUCCCGGGCCUU
Molecule: ribosomal RNA, 266 nt
Filed under: uncultured Sphingobacteriales bacterium
Lineage: Bacteria; Pseudomonadati; Bacteroidota; Sphingobacteriia; Sphingobacteriales
Description: partial 16S ribosomal RNA
Rfam family: Bacterial small subunit ribosomal RNA
Source: RNAcentral